UACGGAGGGUGCGAGCGUUAAUCGGAAUUACUGGGCGUAAAGGGCGCGUAGGUGGUUCGAUAAGUCAGAUGUGAAAUCCCCGGGCUCAACCUGGGAAUUGCAUUUGAUACUGUCGAACUAGAGUGUGGUAGAGGUAAGCGGAAUUCCCGGUGUAGCGGUGAAAUGCGUAGAUAUCGGGAAGAACAUCAGUGGCGAAGGCGGCUUACUGGAUCAACACUGACACUGAGGCGCGAAAGCGUGGGUAGCAAAC
RNAcentral lists this ribosomal RNA (250 nucleotides) under uncultured bacterium. Its description in RNAcentral is "partial 16S ribosomal RNA". It matches the Rfam family "Bacterial small subunit ribosomal RNA", at positions 524 to 773 of the family's 1533-position model. The record is from RNAcentral.